This 1824-nucleotide long non-coding RNA is filed under the name Zea mays. Its description in RNAcentral is "long non-coding RNA (ZMAY_LNC002987)". The record is from RNAcentral. Lineage: Eukaryota; Viridiplantae; Streptophyta; Magnoliopsida; Poales; Poaceae.
GAGUCCCGGCCCAUGUCAGGGUACGACGACAGGAAGCCGUUCCAGCGCCUCCAGGUCACGGCGUCGUCGAAGGUUCCUCCACCAUUUCCCGGUCGCGCCAUCUCCAUGGCGCGCGCAACUAACACACACAAAAGGAGAUGUUGUGAAUAGGCGCACUUAUAUAGACACCACAGUACACACCAUCACCAGAAUAAAAUGAAGAUAAAAAUAUAUGGACACAUAAAUUUCAUCACUGUUCAUGUACGAAAACUCAUACUCCUACUACAUACAAAAUAUACUAUCAUAAUAAUUCUACAGACGGACCUAAUUGCCAAUUUGUCAGCACGAAGGAAGAACUGCACCAGACAGCACUGCUGGAGCACCGAUGGCCAUAGGUUUCUUUUUCGCAACGUUUUAUGAUCCAAGAAUUGACACGGUAGCUGCUGCCUUGACACCAUCCACAUAGCCCUGACACUCAUGGUGGUGAUCUCAUGCUAAACAACUAAACUUGAAACUGUUCUGCAGCACGACUCCGAGAGUGACCUGCGAAGGCGACGAGGAAACCACUGCUGUUCGUCGUCAGGGAAGAAGAAAAGGGCACCGAUGGCCGUUUCCUGUCCAUCCGCCAAUGAGACACCAGAGAAAUUCGAACAACAGUGAUGGUUUUCGUCUCCAGGUAACACCCGGGACGCAUGACAACUGCAUUUUCGGAAUUAUUAGGAGUCCAGCCCCCGAAAUGAGAGGUGAAGAGAGACAGGGAGGGAAGCACGAGGUACUAUCUGGAACAGUGGCAGCAAGACAAUCUGGCCAUUACAGCUGAGCUGCAGACGAGUACCAUGGAACAGAGUCUGCUCAGCUCCACAAACCGCCCUUACUGUUCAACAUCUGUUGUGCUGUCAUCACUCACGAGAUGUCGGGUCCAUGGAAACGAAGUGGUCAUCAUCAUUUCACUCUUUAGUUCUAGUUUUUUUUGUUUGAUUUAUAAAAUAGAAUGAGUUGAUCAUACGGGUACGAUGAAUGAGUCCGUUCCACUAAAUUUGAACAACUGCACCGUGCACAAAGACUGGAGAUAGCCUUCUGGUAAUGGUAGGGAGGUGUGCCUUGGGAAGAUAACUUGUUUGGGCAGUCUACGUUAGCUAUCUAGAUUUGGCCGCUAUGUGUGGUUGUAAAUCGAAAGAGUAGUAUUAUAUCAUACUGUUCGGAUGCAGAGCGACUCAUAUUUACUUGUAAUUAGUAGUGUUGUGUCACAGAGUCUUGGUUAAUACGUGGGAGGGCCUUGUCCACAAAGCUCAGAGCAUCAUUUUCAGUAAUGAUAUAGAUGAGACCAUUUGGGCUUAUAGCUCUGAUGGCAUAUAUUCAUUCCAAUCCUUUUUGUUCUUUCACUUUUGUUCAGAGGGAGAGAGAAUUAUAUCUAACGACAGGAUCAACUUCGUCCUGUCAACGCGCACGAAGGUGAAGUUGGAAGCUUCGGCUUCAUGAUUCAAACACGAAGCUCUUAUCUGGGUGGAUGAAAGUGGUCUUCGGCUACCAGAUGAAGAGAGAUUAUGGAGGUUCGUUCAGCACGUCUAUAAGGAAAAAUAUGGUGAUGCCCUUGGUUGUAUAUAUAGGAUUGAAUACAUGAUUGUAAUUUCAUACGAAGUUAUAUACCGAACCAUCACUAUAAAUAGGGGCAUAAUACCAUGCACGAGGGACACGCUCUGGAACGGAACUGUUCCGCCUCAGAAGGUACGCUGUUCCAAUACCUUCGCAUUGCCGUCAUAGUCUUCGAAGGCAACUGUAAUGGCUUGUAACCAGGAAGAAAUAACAAGAAAAGUGCAUCAACAAUGAAUGGUCCUAAAUACCUUC